Molecule: non-coding RNA, 165 nt
Organism: Corchorus olitorius
Lineage: Eukaryota; Viridiplantae; Streptophyta; Magnoliopsida; Malvales; Malvaceae
Source: Rfam
AUACAUACCUGGACGGGGUCUAUGGGCGAUCAAGAAGGCUCAUGGCCUAGGUUGUUGGCCUCCAUUGCACAAAUAAGGAGGUGCAGCAGCCUAACAUCUCCCUUCUGUGGAGAGUGUACGUCAUAAUUUGUGGCAGUUGGGGGCCUGUGUUCGCGCGGCCCCCUC